Molecule: non-coding RNA, 91 nt
Organism: Mucidula mucida
Lineage: Eukaryota; Fungi; Basidiomycota; Agaricomycetes; Agaricales; Physalacriaceae
Source: the annotation of a GenBank genome assembly
UCCCUCUUAGCUCAGUGGUAGAGCGUGUCACUAGUAUAAUGAGCAAAGAUGAGUGAUGACGAGGUGAGUCGUUCAAGUCGGCUAGAGGGAA